RNAcentral lists this long non-coding RNA (339 nucleotides) under Phoenix dactylifera (date palm). RNAcentral describes it as "long non-coding RNA (PDAC_LNC010769)". The record is from RNAcentral. Lineage: Eukaryota; Viridiplantae; Streptophyta; Magnoliopsida; Arecales; Arecaceae.
UCCAGCCUCUGAAGGUGCUGUAGGAUGAUCCGCAGGCUCCUCAUCCUCUGGUGCAUCACCCUCUGGAGCAUCACCCUCUGGUGCAUAUAUCCCAGCUCCUGUACGCACCCACUACCCGUUCACCUUCUCAUAACCCAUGCGAAUAAGGGAUCGUGCAGUGUACGUGUCAGUAAAAAGUAGAUGCCUCGAGAUCUCUCCCUCUACUGAUAUGUCAUGCUGUCGGAAGAUCAGGGUGAGUAUCAUACCAUAAGGCAGGGAGACUCUCGAAUUGCAUAUGACCUUUCUCAUCUGCCUAAGUAUCAUAGCUGGGAGGUUCAGGGGAAUGCCCUGAAUAAUGUG